RNAcentral lists this ribosomal RNA (116 nucleotides) under Pteropus alecto (black flying fox). The record is from RNAcentral. Lineage: Eukaryota; Metazoa; Chordata; Mammalia; Chiroptera; Pteropodidae.
GUCUACGGCCGUGCCACCCUGAACGAGCCCAAUGUCUGAUCUCCGAAGCUAAGCAGGGUCGGGCCUGGUUAGUACUUGGAUGAGAGACCACUCAGGAAGACCAGGCGCCGUAGGCA